AGAGUUUGAUCAUGGCUCAGGAUGAACGCUAGCGGGAGGCCUAACACAUGCAAGCUGAGCGGUAUUUGUCUUUCGGGACAGAGAGAGCGGCGUACGGGUGCGUAACACGUGUGCAACCUGCCUUUAUCAGGAGGAUAGCCUUUCGAAAGGAAGAUUAAUACUCCAUAAUAUAUUAAUUGGCAUCAAUUGAUAUUGAAAACUCCGGUGGAUAAAGACGGGCACGCGCAAGAUUAGAUAGUUGGUGAGGUAACGGCUCACCAAGUCGAUGAUCUUUAGGGGGCCUGAGAGGGUGAUCCCCCACACUGGUACUGAGACACGGACCAGACUCCUACGGGAGGCAGCAGUGAGGAAUAUUGGACAAUGGGUUAGCGCCUGAUCCAGCCAUCCCGCGUGAAGGAUUAAGGACCUAUGGUUUGUAAACUUCUUUUGUACAGGGAUAAACCUACCCUCGUGAGGGUAGCUGAAGGUACUGUACGAAUAAGCACCGGCUAACUCCGUG
This 499-nucleotide ribosomal RNA is filed under the name uncultured bacterium. RNAcentral describes it as "bacterial SSU rRNA". It matches the Rfam family "Bacterial small subunit ribosomal RNA", at positions 8 to 507 of the family's 1533-position model. The record is from RNAcentral.